CUCCAGAGUCCGGUGCACUCGCCUCCGCCUGUCCCUAAGUGGCCCGACUCGGCGGUCCAGGCACCCUGCCGCAGGGGAAUGGCCCGGGUGACCCCCAGCCCCGCCUCCUGCAGGGCGCAAGGGGCCAGAGGGAAAAAUCUUUGCGGAGUUGAUGAAGUUGAAGUUUCGUAAAGGGCGUGAAGGAGACAGCCAAUCAGCGACUGCUCAUUUACAUGGGCUUUCUGAUUGGCUCUCACGGUGCCUCUUUAGAAUGUUACUUUGAAACCUUAAGAAAACGUUGAGCCAAGUCCCGCUGCCGAAAGGGAGGGAGCCGCUCAGACCCCUCAAGUUCCUGUAGGAACCCCCAGGCCAGCUCUGAUGGGAGGUGGGGAACUGAGAUAUGGUCUCGCCCAACCCUCAAGAUACAGAACACCGCCUUGAGGCCAGAGGGUCAGAGAGAUGGAGAUUGGCCUGGACCCAGGCACUAGGUUCUGCCCAGCACCCUGCCAGGUGCCCAUCUCCUUACGGCUCUACGUGUAGUCAGGGGUCAUUUCAGACUGGAGGUCUCAAGAGGAGAGAGAAGGCCUGGCCUGGCUUGCAGGCAGUUGCACGCAGGGAUUGCAGCCCCAUUUUACAGACGAGGAAACUGAGGCUCGGAGGAGGAAGAGGUUUGCUCAAGGCUGUAAAGUGGGCUCCUCCAAGCUCCUACGUGCAUCUUUCUCGCCCACAGACACACACUCACACACCCUGGGGAGCUGUUCCUCCAGGCGCUGUGCCUAGAUGGAGAUGAGAGGCCCCAGCCGCCUGAGGACACUGGAGUGCACUGCUGGGACCGGUUCCAGGAAGCACCCUGGCCCAGGACCUGCGCGUAGUAGGUGCUCAGCUGCUGCCUGCCAAAUGAGGGCCCUGUGCAGGGGUAGGUAGCACACAGGAAGCCACUUAGAGGUUUCUAGACAUCCCGGAGCCUCGGCUUCCUCAACUGUAAGACAGAUGCUCAGUGUCCUCACCUCUUGGGUGGUUGGUAAAAAGCAACCGUAAAAACACACGUAAAGCAGUUCGCGUGGGUCUGGCCUCUGGAGGGGCCCCAUCACAGGUCAGACUGAUGCAUAUAGCUUUGCCACAACGAGUCCGCCACCAAGUCCGUGUACACGCAGCUCCCUCUGCCUAGGGCACCCCCGACUCUCCUCUGCUGAUGCCACAUAUCUCUGCGUCUCCUCUUCAAGGCCGAGUGCAUCUGCCACUUCCUCCAGGACAACAGCCGUGGUCUCCUGCCACAUCCAGCACCCCCUGGCACCCGGUGGCUGGCCUUGCAUGCUGAGAGUGGGCCCAGCCUGCCUGGCUCAGGGCCUGCACACAGUAGGUGCUCCUGUGCUGCCUGCUGGUCUGACCGCCCUGUACCAGGUCAGCACACAGCAACCAGCAGUUAGGGCGCUUCUGCAGUUAAAAUAAACCCCUGAGGUCAUGGUCUGUUCUCUCUGCA
Molecule: long non-coding RNA, 1459 nt
Filed under: Sus scrofa (pig)
Lineage: Eukaryota; Metazoa; Chordata; Mammalia; Artiodactyla; Suidae
Description: lncRNA (ENSSSCG00070024903.1)
Source: RNAcentral